This is a non-coding RNA of Caenorhabditis elegans, 72 nucleotides long. Lineage: Eukaryota; Metazoa; Nematoda; Chromadorea; Rhabditida; Rhabditidae. The record is from the annotation of a RefSeq genome assembly.
AACUUUUGGCGCAGUGGCUAACAGGGAUGGCUGAGACCCAUAAGACCGGGGUUCGAAUCCCCGCUGUGGUGA